RNAcentral lists this small nucleolar RNA (96 nucleotides) under Hyphopichia burtonii NRRL Y-1933. Lineage: Eukaryota; Fungi; Ascomycota; Pichiomycetes; Serinales; Debaryomycetaceae. The record is from RNAcentral.
UUCGUUAUGAUGAUAACUUAACUCAGCUCACUCAGAGUCUCUGACGAUGCUGAUAACACCCUUUUUCCAACAUUCAUCAAACUAUCUGAUACUGAA